UUUGGGCUUCUUUUGUUGGCUGAUACGUAUCCCCACUGAUUUCGCGGCGUACCCGUGAUAGCUACCUUCUCUCACUGCGCUCUCCCAAGGCCGUCGCUCUCUCUCUCUCUCUCUCUCUCUGUAAAUUCUUGGGAAAUAUUGUAAAUGGGAAUAUUUUUUUAACGAUUCAACACUGUAUAGAAUAGUUUGAAUAGCAAGCAAUUCAGAUCCUCUGUCUAUUUGCUGUUAAAUAUCGUCUGUUUUUUUCUCGAGCAACAACAAUCAGUCUCUCCUCUCCAACGUUAUGGAGGACUAGCCCCUGGCCCUGCAACCCUGCUCGGAUCCAUCUCCAUUCUUUCCCCAUAAGGUGUUAAAUUUUUCAGGAAGAAUUGUGGUAAGAAAUCAUGGCGUUAGGGAAAUAUACUAGAGUAGACAACAGAAGAUCCUCAUCAUCUUACUGCUCGACUGUGUCAAUUGUUGUUUUCGUGGCACUUUGCUUGGUUGGGGUUUGGAUGAUGACAUCAUCAUCUGUGGUUCCUGUUCAAAACGUGGAUGUGCCUCAAGAGAAUAAGAAUGAGGCAAAGGAACAAGUGAGCGAGAGCAAUGGUGGAGUUACUCGGCAGUUUGAGGAUAAUUCGGGUGAUUUGCCAGACGAUGCAACCAAAGGAGACAGUAAUUUAAACUCUGAGAACCACUCUAAAUCAGAAGAAACCCAAGAUGAGAAACCUGAUGAGAAGCCCGAGGAAAACCCUGAAGAGAAGCCCGUGGAAAAUCCUGAAGAGAAGCCCGUGGAAAAUCCUGAAGAAACGCCUGAGGAAAAUCCUGAAGAGAAGCCUGAGGAAAAGCUUGAAGAGAAGCCCGAGGAGAAGCCUGAAGAGAAGUUCGAGGAGAAUUCUGAAGAGAAGCUGGAGGAAAAGCCUGAUGAAGGGCCCAAUUCAGAUGGUGGGGAGGCUAAAACAGAUGGGGGUGAGAAUGGUUCUGAGGGACAAGGUGGUUCUGAAGGGAGUUCCAGUGAGAAAAAAUCAGAGAACCCAGAGGAAACAAAGGAUGGAGAAAAGGCUGUUGGUCAGAUAGAUGAGAAGGUGGAUCAAAGUGAGAAGAAGGAAACAGAUGAAAACUCUGGUGAGAAGAAGGAAAAUGGCCAGGCCCAAAACCAGAGUUCAAAUAACGUAUUUCCUUCUGGGGCUCAGUCAGAGCUCCUGAAUGAAACUACCACUCAAAGUGGGGCUUGGUCAACUCAAGCGACAGAGUCAAAGAAUGAGAAGGACAUUCAAAAAUCAUCUACGCAACAGACUGGUUAUAGUUGGAAACUUUGCAAUGUCACUGCUGGGCCUGAUUACAUCCCAUGCCUUGACAAUUGGGAAGCAAUAAAAAAUCUUAGAAGUACCAAGCAUUAUGAACAUCGAGAGAGGCAUUGUCCUGAAAAAGCCCCCACAUGCCUUGUUUCUCUCCCUGAAGGAUAUAGACGCCCAAUUGAGUGGCCUACAAGCAGGGAAAAGAUCUGGUACUAUAAUGUUCCUCACACCAAACUUGCACAAAUCAAGGGGCAUCAGAAUUGGGUGAAAGUCUCUGGUGAAUAUCUUACGUUUCCUGGUGGUGGCACCCAAUUUAAGCAUGGUGCUCUUCAUUACAUUGACUUCAUACAGGACUCUGUGCCUGAUGUUGCCUGGGGGAAACGCUCCCGUGUGAUAUUGGAUGUUGGAUGUGGAGUUGCUAGCUUUGGAGGCUAUCUCUUUGAUAGAGAUGUACUCACUAUGUCAUUUGCUCCGAAGGAUGAGCAUGAAGCCCAAGUGCAAUUUGCACUUGAAAGGGGAAUUCCUGCAUUAUCCGCUGUGAUGGGCACAAAGAGACUUCCAUUUCCCGGCCGUGUUUUUGAUAUUGUCCAUUGUGCACGAUGUAGAGUUCCAUGGCACAUAGAAGGUGGUAAACUUCUUUUGGAGCUGAAUCGUGUGUUGCGUCCUGGUGGUUUCUUUGUCUGGUCUGCUACUCCAAUUUAUCGGAAGACUUCUGAAGAUGUUGAAAUAUGGAGUGCAAUGAAGGAUCUAACAAAAGCAAUGUGCUGGGAACUAGUUUCGAUCAACAAGGAUACGGUAAAUGAAGUAGGUGCAGCUACAUUUAAGAAGCCUAUUUCUAAUGAGUGCUAUGAGAAAAGAUCACAAAGUGAGCCUCCUAUCUGCCCAGAGUCUGACGAUCCAAACGCAGCCUGGAACGUACCGUUGCAAGCAUGCAUGCACAAAGUACCUGUAGACACAUCUGAGCGUGGGUCUCAAUGGCCAGAGCAAUGGCCCGCUAGGUUGGAAAAAACCACCGUACUGGUUGUUGAGCUCCCAGGUCGGAGUUUAUGGUAAAGCUGCUCCUGAUGAUUUCACUGCAGACUAUGAGCACUGGAAACGAGUAGUGACCAAGUCAUAUCUUACUGGGAUGGGAGUUGACUGGUCAAAUAUUAGGAAUGCCAUGGACAUGAGAUCUGUGUAUGGAGGAUUUGCUGCAGCCUUGAAAGAUUUGAAGAUUUGGGUCAUGAAUGUGGUCGCCAUAGACUCCCCAGAUACACUACCCAUAAUUUAUGAACGAGGUCUAUUCGGAAUAUAUCAUGACUGGUGUGAAUCCUUUAGCACGUAUCCUAGGUCCUAUGAUCUUCUCCAUGCAGACCAUCUGUUCUCCAAGGUUAAAAAGAGGUGCAAUUUAGCCGGUGUAGUUGUGGAGGUUGAUCGGAUCCUCAGGCCAGAGGGGAAGCUUAUUGUCCGUGACAAUGUUGAGACCAUUAAUGAGCUGGAGAAUAUGCUGAAGUCUAUGCAGUGGGAGGUCCGCUUAACCUACUCGAGGGACAACGAGGGAUUGUUGUGUGUUCAGAAGUCCAUGUGGCGACCUAACGAAUUGGAGACACUCCAGUAUGCAAUUGCAUAAGCAUGAUCCGAUCACAUCCUGAAUCGCUAUUGAUCUUGAGACGGCAACUCCGAUGAGAUUCGAUAUUCUUUUUGUUCUGCUUGCUAAUUGAUAUUCAUUGUAAGUUGUAACUGUGCUUGUACCUUAGCCAAUGUAUCAUGUUAGAUAGGUCUCUCACUCUGAGUCUGUUAUUUUUCAUCAUUUGUUUCCUUGUUUUGAUGAUCUCUAUAUAUAUAUAGUAAGAGGUGGCUGUCGGGAUUUCCACUCAUGUAACAUCAUAUUACUAUACUAGUUAUUGAUGGAGAAAUGAACAUUCUUGCAA
This is an RNA transcript of Juglans microcarpa x Juglans regia, 3184 nucleotides long. It is a transcript of the gene named probable methyltransferase PMT26, with no coding region annotated. The record is from RefSeq and is a predicted model, not a curated record. NCBI's taxonomy places the organism in Eukaryota, Viridiplantae, Streptophyta, Magnoliopsida, Fagales, Juglandaceae. The transcript has 9 exons.